Strongylocentrotus purpuratus (purple sea urchin) is the source of this 618-nucleotide long non-coding RNA. RefSeq lists it as uncharacterized. The record is from RefSeq and is a predicted model, not a curated record. The transcript is spliced from 2 exons. NCBI's taxonomy places the organism in Eukaryota, Metazoa, Echinodermata, Echinoidea, Camarodonta, Strongylocentrotidae.
CAUUAUUUUUUCGUCCAGUUUUAUAUUGUCAUUUUAUCAUGUGGAUAGCAUUAUACGAAUUGGGCCAGUCCAAGGUAUUUGGUAUUUGGUGCCGCAUACGUCACCAAGUAUUAUAGGUUUCUGAACAUAGAUUGUCGUUAGUUGUGUCUUUCCACUUCAUAUUUUGGUCCGAUAAAAGCUCGAUAUAGAAGGUCUAUCGACUAAAAUCAAUGAUCAGAUAUAUAUUAACAUAUAAGAAGUGAUAUCUGACGUACUGUAAAAAAUAAAUUUGACUUGAAUGACUGAUUGAUUGAUUGAAGGUUUUAUUAUCCUUUAAAGGCAGCCAGUGGCUGAAUUGUGAAAGAUUAACAAUUAAAUAUAUUUAGCCAAUGCAAAAUUACAUAGUUGCAAAAUAUUAAGGCUUGUUCAGAUAUGACGCGGUAAACCAAUGUAAAAAAAUAUUUUUAAAAAAAGCCACCGCGGUUUUUGCUAAAGAAUGAGCAACAACUGCGUUAACUAGGCGUUGUGGCGUGCGCCUGUAAUCCAGCUAACAAUGGAAGUUACAAAAUGAUUCAGCUGAGGACGCAGGUUAGAAAUCGAGUCACGUCUUUCUGAUUGUUACACGUCUGUAAAAAAAAA